This 207-nucleotide ribosomal RNA is filed under the name uncultured Carnobacteriaceae bacterium. RNAcentral's name for it is "partial 16S ribosomal RNA". It matches the Rfam family "Bacterial small subunit ribosomal RNA", at positions 568 to 774 of the family's 1533-position model. Lineage: Bacteria; Bacillati; Bacillota; Bacilli; Lactobacillales; Carnobacteriaceae. The record is from RNAcentral.
AGCGCAGGCGGCUGGAAUAGUCUGAUGUGAAAGCCCACGGCUUAACCGUGGAAGGUCAUUGGAAACUGUCCAACUUGAAUACAGAAGAGGUAAGUGGAAUUCCAAGUGUAGCGGUGAAAUGCGUAGAUAUUUGGAGGAACACCAGUGGCGAAGGCGACUUACUGGUCUGUAAUUGACGCUGAGGCUCGAAAGCGUGGGUAGCAAACA